Molecule: ribosomal RNA, 468 nt
Filed under: uncultured bacterium
Lineage: Bacteria
Description: partial 16S ribosomal RNA
Rfam family: Bacterial small subunit ribosomal RNA
Source: RNAcentral
GACGAACGCUGGCGGCGUGCUUAACACAUGCAAGUCGAACGGAAAGGCCCUGCUUUUGUGGGGUGCUCGAGUGGCGAACGGGUGAGUAACAUGUGAGUAACCUGCCCUUGACUUUGGGAUAACUUCAGGAAACUGGGGCUAAUACCGGAUAGGAGCUCCUGCUGCAUGGUGGGGGUUGGAAAGUUUCGGCGGUUGGGGAUGGACUCGCGGCUUAUCAGCUUGUUGGUGGGGUAGUGGCUUACCAAGGCUUUGACGGGUAGCCGGCCUGAGAGGGUGACCGGCCACAUUGGGACUGAGAUACGGCCCAGACUCCUACGGGAGGCAGCAGUGGGGAAUAUUGCACAAUGGGCGGAAGCCUGAUGCAGCAACGCCGCGUGCGGGAUGACGGCCUUCGGGUUGUAAACCGCUUUCGCCUGUGACGAAGCGUGGGUGACGGUAAUGGGUAAAGAAGCACCGGCUAACUACGUG